AUUGAACGCUGGCGGCAUGCCUUACACAUGCAAGUCGAACGGCAGCACGGGAGCAAUCCUGGUGGCGAGUGGCGAACGGGUGAGUAAUAUAUCGGAACGUGCCCAGUCGUGGGGAUAACGUAGCGAAAGCUACGCUAAUACCGCAUACGAUCUAUGGAUGAAAGCGGGGGAUCGCAAGACCUCGCGCGAUUGGAGCGGCCGAUAUCAGAUUAGGUAGUUGGUGAGGUAAAGGCUCACCAAGCCGACGAUCUGUAGCUGGUCUGAGAGGACGACCAGCCACACUGGGACUGAGACACGGCCCAGACUCCUACGGGAGGCAGCAGUGGGGAAUUUUGGACAAUGGGCGCAAGCCUGAUCCAGCAAUGCCGCGUGCAGGAUGAAGGCCUUCGGUUGGUUAAACUGACUUUUGUACGGUAACGAAACGGUAGAGGCU
This 433-nucleotide ribosomal RNA is filed under the name uncultured bacterium. RNAcentral describes it as "bacterial SSU rRNA". It matches the Rfam family "Bacterial small subunit ribosomal RNA", at positions 30 to 462 of the family's 1533-position model. The record is from RNAcentral.